GACGAGCGCUGGCGGCGUGCUUAACACAUGCAAGUCGAACGGAAAGGCCCUGCUUUUGUGGGGUGCUCGAGUGGCGAACGGGUGAGUAACACGUGAGUAACCUGCCCUUGACUUUGGGAUAACUUCAGGAAACUGGGGCUAAUACCGGAUAGGAGCUCCUGCUGCAUGGUGGGGGUUGGAAAGUUUCGGCGGUUGGGGAUGGACUCGCGGCUUAUCAGCUUGUUGGUGGGGUAGUGGCUUACCAAGGCUUUGACGGGUAGCCGGCCUGAGAGGGUGACCGGCCACAUUGGGACUGAGAUACGGCCCAGACUCCUACGGGAGGCAGCAGUGGGGAAUAUUGCACAAUGGGCGGAAGCCUGAUGCAGCAACGCCGCGUGCGGGAUGACGGCCUUCGGUUUGUAAACCGCUUUCGCCUGUGACGAAGCGUGAGUGACGGUAAUGGGUAAAGAAGCACCGGCUAACUACGUG
Molecule: ribosomal RNA, 468 nt
Filed under: uncultured bacterium
Lineage: Bacteria
Description: partial 16S ribosomal RNA
Rfam family: Bacterial small subunit ribosomal RNA
Source: RNAcentral